GUCGAGCGGUAGAAGUAGCUUGCUACUUUUGAGAGCGGCGGACGGGUGAGUAAUGCGUGGGAAUCUACCUGGUAGUGGGGGACAACAGUUGGAAACGACUGCUAAUACCGCAUACGCCCUACGGGGGAAAGCGGGGGAUCUUCGGACCUCGUGCUAUCAGAUGAGCCCGCGUGAGAUUAGCUUGUUGGUGGGGUAAUGGCCUACCAAGGCGACGAUCUCUAGCUGGUCUGAGAGGAUGAUCAGCCACACUGGGACUGAGGCACGGCCCAGACUCCUACGGGAGGCAGCAGUGGGGAAUAUUGGACAAUGGGCGCAAGCCUGAUCCAGCCAUGCCGCGUGUGUGAAGAAGGCCUUCGGGUUGUAAAGCACUUUCAGCGAGGAGGAAAGGUUAAGUGUUAAUAGCACUUAGCUGUGACGUUACUCGCAGAAGAAGCACCGGCUAACUCCGUGCCAGCAGCCGCGGUAAUACGGAGGGUGCAAGCGUUAAUCGGAAUUACUGGGCGUAAAGCGCGCGUAGGUUGUUUGUUAAGCGAGAUGUGAAAGCCCCGGGCUCAACCUGGGAACUGCAUUUCGAACUGGCAAGCUAGAGUACAGUAGAGGGUGGCGGAAUUUCCUGUGUAGCG
RNAcentral lists this ribosomal RNA (623 nucleotides) under uncultured bacterium. RNAcentral's name for it is "bacterial SSU rRNA". It matches the Rfam family "Bacterial small subunit ribosomal RNA", at positions 61 to 680 of the family's 1533-position model. The record is from RNAcentral.